GGUCCAUACAUCUACGGAUGGCAGCAACCGGGAAUCUUGGACAAUGGGGGAAACCCUGAUCCAGCGACGCCGCGUGGGGGAAGAAGGCCUUCGGGUUGUAAACUCCUUUUGUCCCGUGUAAUGCGGGGAGAAUAAGCACCUGCCAACUACGUGCCAGCAGCCGCGGUGAUACGUAGGGUGCAAGCGUUAUCCGGAUUUACUGGGCGUAAAGGGUUGCGUAGGCGGUUUAUUAAGUCAAAAUUCAAAUAUUUCAGCUUAACUGGAAAUCGGGUUUUGAAACUAAUAGACUUGAGUAUCAGAGGGGUUGCCAGAACUUGCAGUGGAGCGGUGAAAUGCGUUGAGAUUGCAAGGAAUACCAAUGGCGUAGGCAGGCAACUGGUUGAUUACUGACGCUGAUGCACGAAAGCUAGGGGAGCAAAAGGGAUUAGAGACCCCUGUAGUCCUAGCCGUAAACGAUGGACACUAGAUGCCUGCAUUUUAAUGUGGGUGUCGCAAGCUAACGCGUUAAGUGUCCCGCCUGGGGAGUACGGCCGCAAGGCUAAAACUCAAAGGAAUUGACGGGGACCUGCACAAGCGGUGGAGCAUGUGGUUUAAUUCGAAACAAAGCGAAAAACCUUACCAGGGUUUGACAUCCUAGCUGCACGCCGUUGGAAACAAUGGUUUCUUCGAGAGUGCUAGGACAGGUGCUGCAUGGCUGUCGUCAGCUUGUACCGUGAGGCGCACCCUUAAGUGGGUCAACAAGCGCAACCCCCAUUGUGUGUUAAAUAUUCACACGAAACCGCCCGUUAAAUGCGUGGAGGAAGGCGGGGAUGACGUCAAGUCAGCACGGCCCUUAUGCCCUGGGCUACACACAUCCUACAAUGGACACUAACAACGAGUUUUGCCACUCGGCAACGGGAAGCUAAUCUCUAAAACGUGUCCUCAGUUCGGAUUGAAGGCUGCAAUUUGCCUUCAUGAAGCCGAAAUCGCUAGUAAUCGCGGAUCAGCAGGCCGCGGUGAAUACGUUCUCAGGUCUUGUACACACCGCCCGUCAAGCCAACAAAGUCAGGGGAGCCCGAAGUAUCCUUUAAUGGGUCCUAAGGCUAAACUGGCGAUGGGGACUAAGUCGUAACAAGGUAUCCGUUCUGGAAGGAGCGGAUG
Molecule: ribosomal RNA, 1140 nt
Filed under: groundwater metagenome
Description: bacterial SSU rRNA
Rfam family: Bacterial small subunit ribosomal RNA
Source: RNAcentral